UGUGGGAGCGAGCCUGCUCGCGAUGGCGCCGGGUCAAUGGAGUCGAUGUUGGCUGAUCCACCGCUAUCGCGAGCAGGCUCGCUCCCACA
Molecule: unclassified non-coding RNA, 89 nt
Filed under: Pseudomonas mediterranea
Lineage: Bacteria; Pseudomonadati; Pseudomonadota; Gammaproteobacteria; Pseudomonadales; Pseudomonadaceae
Source: RNAcentral